Molecule: ribosomal RNA, 253 nt
Filed under: uncultured bacterium
Lineage: Bacteria
Description: partial 16S ribosomal RNA
Rfam family: Bacterial small subunit ribosomal RNA
Source: RNAcentral
UACAGAGGGGGCAAGCGUUGUUCGGAAUUACUGGGCGUAAAGGGCGCGUAGGCGGCUUGGCAAGUGGAAGGUGAAAUCCCUCGGCUUAACCGAGGAACUGCCCUCCAAACUGCUUGGCUUGAGACCGGGAGAGGUGAGUGGAAUUCCCAGUGUAGCGGUGAAAUGCGUGGAUAUUGGGAGGAACACCAGUGGCGAAGGCGGCUCACUGGACCGGUACUGACGCUGAUGCGCGAAAGCGUGGGGAGCAAACGGG